AUGAGAGCAGGUGUCAGCACCCUAUCCAGACCAAGUGAUAAAUUACUGAUGCAGUGCUCAGGUGGUAGCUCCUCUGGCUCCAUCUUGUCUGUGGGUGGAGACUUUGAGAAUCUGCUGAGGAAAUUCAAGCUGGUGUUCCUAGGAGAGCAGAGCAUUGGAAAAACAUCCCUGAUCACCAGAUUCAUGAAUGACAGUUUUGACAACACUUAUCAGGCAACAAUUGGCACUGACUUUUUAUCAAAAAUCAUGUACUUGGAGGAUCCAACAGUAUGAUUGCAGUUAUGGGACACAGCAGCGGCUUUGCCUGGGAUGGAAAGCACACAGGACAGAAGCAGAGAAGAUAUGAUUGAUAUUAAACUGGAAAAGCCUCAGGAGCAACCAGUCAGUGAAGGAAGCUGUUCCUGCUAA
Marmota flaviventris (yellow-bellied marmot) is the source of this 408-nucleotide non-coding RNA. Lineage: Eukaryota; Metazoa; Chordata; Mammalia; Rodentia; Sciuridae. The record is from RefSeq and is a predicted model, not a curated record.